UGAGGAAUNNUGNUCAAUGGGCGCGAGCCUGAACCAGCCAAGUAGCGUGCAGGAUGACGGCCCUAUGGGUUGUAAACUGCUUUUGUAUGGGGAUAAAGUCAAUCACGUGUGAUUGUUUGCAGGUACCAUACGAAUAAGGACCGGCUAAUUCCGUGCCAGCAGCCGCGGUAAUACGGAAGGUCCGGGCGUUAUCCGGAUUUAUUGGGUUUAAAGGGAGCGUAGGCCGGAGAUUAAGUGUGUUGUGAAAUGUAGACGCUCAACGUCUGACUUGCAGCGCAUACUGGUUUCCUUGAGUACGCACAACGUUGGCGGAAUUCGUCGUGUAGCGGUGAAAUGCUUAGAUAUGACGAAGAACUCCGAUUGCGAAGGCAGCUGACGGGAGCGCAACUGACGCUUAAGCUCGAAGGUGCGGGUAUCGAACAGGAUUAGAUACCCUGGUAGUCCGCACAGUAAACGAUGGAUGCCCGCUGUUGGUACCUGGUAUCAGCGGCUAAGCGAAAGCAUUAAGCAUCCCACCUGGGGAGUACGCCGGCAACGGUG
RNAcentral lists this ribosomal RNA (540 nucleotides) under uncultured bacterium. RNAcentral describes it as "bacterial SSU rRNA". It matches the Rfam family "Bacterial small subunit ribosomal RNA", at positions 355 to 896 of the family's 1533-position model. The record is from RNAcentral.